GAUCCUGGCUCAGGACGAACGCUGGCGGCGUGCUUAACACAUGCAAGUCGAACGGGAUUUAGUAGACAGAAACCUCGGUGGAAGAUUUACUAAUGAGAGUGGCGAACGGGUGAGUAACGCGUGAGCAACCUGCCUAUGACAGUGGGAUAGCCUCGGGAAACCGGGAUUAAUACCGCAUAAAAUCGUAGAAACACAUGUUUCAACGGUCAAAGAUUUAUCGGUCAUAGAUGGGCUCGCGUCUGAUUAG
Molecule: ribosomal RNA, 247 nt
Filed under: uncultured bacterium
Lineage: Bacteria
Description: partial 16S ribosomal RNA
Rfam family: Bacterial small subunit ribosomal RNA
Source: RNAcentral